UACGUAGGGGCUAGCGUUAUCCGGAAUUACUGGGCGUAAAGGGUGCGUAGGUGGUUUCUUAAGUCAGAGGUGAAAGGCUACGGCUCAACCGUAGUAAGCCUUUGAAACUGGGAAACUUGAGUGCAGGAGAGGAGAGUGGAAUUCCUAGUGUAGCGGUGAAAUGCGUAGAUAUUAGGAGGAACACCAGUUGCGAAGGCGGCUCUCUGGACUGUAACUGGCACUGAGGCACGAAAGCGUGGGGAGCAAACAGGAUUAGAUACCCUGGUAGUCCCUGAG
Molecule: ribosomal RNA, 276 nt
Filed under: uncultured prokaryote
Description: partial 16S ribosomal RNA
Rfam family: Bacterial small subunit ribosomal RNA
Source: RNAcentral